GCGGAAGUAGCCAAGAGGUCAACGGCGACAGACUCAAGAUCUGUUCCUCAGUGGUUCGCCGGUUCGAAUCCGGUCUUCCGCA
This 82-nucleotide transfer RNA is filed under the name Thermoplasmatota archaeon. RNAcentral describes it as "Candidatus Thermoplasmatota archaeon tRNA-Leu". It matches the Rfam family "tRNA". Rfam says of the family: Transfer RNA (tRNA) molecules are approximately 80 nucleotides in length. Their secondary structure includes four short double-helical elements and three loops (D, anti-codon, and T loops). Further hydrogen bonds mediate the characteristic L-shaped molecular structure. tRNAs have two regions of fundamental functional importance: the anti-codon, which is responsible for specific mRNA codon recognition, and the 3' end, to which the tRNAs corresponding amino acid is attached (by aminoacyl-tRNA synthetases). tRNAs cope with the degeneracy of the genetic code in two manners: having more than one tRNA (with a specific anti-codon) for a particular amino acid; and 'wobble' base-pairing, i.e. permitting non-standard base-pairing at the 3rd anti-codon position. The record is from RNAcentral. Lineage: Archaea; Methanobacteriati; Thermoplasmatota.